GGGGAAUUAGCUCAAGUGGUAGAGCGCUCGCUUAGCAUGUGAGAGGCAGCGGGAUCAAUGUCCACAUUCUCCA
RNAcentral lists this transfer RNA (73 nucleotides) under Manacus vitellinus (golden-collared manakin). It matches the Rfam family "tRNA". Rfam says of the family: Transfer RNA (tRNA) molecules are approximately 80 nucleotides in length. Their secondary structure includes four short double-helical elements and three loops (D, anti-codon, and T loops). Further hydrogen bonds mediate the characteristic L-shaped molecular structure. tRNAs have two regions of fundamental functional importance: the anti-codon, which is responsible for specific mRNA codon recognition, and the 3' end, to which the tRNAs corresponding amino acid is attached (by aminoacyl-tRNA synthetases). tRNAs cope with the degeneracy of the genetic code in two manners: having more than one tRNA (with a specific anti-codon) for a particular amino acid; and 'wobble' base-pairing, i.e. permitting non-standard base-pairing at the 3rd anti-codon position. The record is from Rfam by way of RNAcentral. RNAcentral also lists the same sequence under 1 other name. Lineage: Eukaryota; Metazoa; Chordata; Aves; Passeriformes; Pipridae.